This is a long non-coding RNA of Zea mays, 276 nucleotides long. RefSeq lists it as uncharacterized. The record is from RefSeq and is a predicted model, not a curated record. The transcript is spliced from 3 exons. NCBI's taxonomy places the organism in Eukaryota, Viridiplantae, Streptophyta, Magnoliopsida, Poales, Poaceae.
CCAAGGCAGCGAACAAAUGUUGAUGAAGAAACUAUAGAAGUGUCGAUUGAUGCAUAUAAGGAGUGGCUUGCAAUACUACAACAUGAUAAUCCAGAAACGGAUUUAAUGGAUGACUUCAGGGAGGAUACGAUCAAAACAUAUAAAGAAUGGUUAAGGCAUCAAGGCGAUCUUCCAGAUAUCUUAUUGUAUGAACGACAAAGCAAUGAUGACCUAAUAUUAUCAGAUGAAGAAAUUCAUGGCAGCAGCAAACCUACUGCUAAUUGGCCAUCUCAUGCU